CCCUUAGAUGUUCUGGGCCGCACGCGCGCUACACUGAUACAUUCAACGAGUCCAACCUUGACCGAGAGGUCCGGGUAAUCUUUGAAACUGCAUCGUGAUGGGGCUAGAUUAUUGCAAUUAUUAAUCUUCAACGAGGAAUGCCUAGUAAGCGUGAUUCAUCAAAUCGCGUUGAUUACGUCCCUGCCCUUUGUACACACCGCCCGUCGCUCCUACCGAUUGAGUGUGUUGGUGAGGAGUUUGGAUUGGCCUCGGAAGGUGGUUCGCCACCGUCCGUAGCUGAGAAGUUCUCCAAACCGCCCCACUUAGAGGAAGGAGAAGUCGUAACA
This 326-nucleotide ribosomal RNA is filed under the name uncultured eukaryote. Its description in RNAcentral is "partial 18S ribosomal RNA". It matches the Rfam family "Eukaryotic small subunit ribosomal RNA", at positions 1470 to 1796 of the family's 1831-position model. The record is from RNAcentral.